This 668-nucleotide ribosomal RNA is filed under the name uncultured Facklamia sp. RNAcentral describes it as "bacterial SSU rRNA". It matches the Rfam family "Bacterial small subunit ribosomal RNA", at positions 179 to 832 of the family's 1533-position model. Lineage: Bacteria; Bacillati; Bacillota; Bacilli; Lactobacillales; Aerococcaceae. The record is from RNAcentral.
CGAUAGAACCGCCUGGUUCAAUCGGGAAAGAUGGCUUCGGCUAUCACUGAAGGAUGGUCCCGCGCUGCAUUAGCUAGUUGGUAAGGUAACGGCUUACCAAGGCGAUGAUGCAUAGCCGACCUGAGAGGGUGAUCGGCCACAUUGGGACUGAGACACGGCCCAAACUCCUACGGGAGGCAGCAGUAGGGAAUCUUCCGCAAUGGACGCAAGUCUGACGGAGCAACGCCGCGUGUGUGAAGAAGGUUUUCGGAUCGUAAAGCACUGUUAUUAGAGAAGAACAGCCGAUAGAGUAACUGUUAUCGGUUUGACGGUAUCUAACCAGAAAGUGACGGCUAACUACGUGCCAGCAGCCGCGGUAAUACGUAGGUCACAAGCGUUGUCCGGAUUUAUUGGGCGUAAAGGGAGCGCAGGCGGUUUGUUAAGUCUGAUGUGAAAGCCCACGGCUCAACCGUGGAACGGCAUUGGAAACUGGCAAACUUGAGUAUAGAAGAGGAAAGUGGAAUUCCAUGUGUAGCGGUGAAAUGCGUAGAUAUAUGGAGGAACACCAGUGGCGAAGGCGACUUUCUGGUCUAUAACUGACGCUGAGGCUCGAAAGCGUGGGGAGCGAACAGGAUUAGAUACCCUGGUAGUCCACGCCGUAAACGAUGAGUGUUAAGUGUUGGGGGGCU